UACGUAGGGACCAAGCGUUGUUCGGAAUUACUGGGCGUAAAGCGCACGUAGGCGGCUUUGUAAGUUAGAGGUGAAAGCCCGGGGCUCAACCCCGGAAUUGCCUUUAAGACUGCAUCGCUAGAAUCCAGGAGAGGUGAGUGGAAUUCCGAGUGUAGAGGUGAAAUUCGUAGAUAUUCGGAAGAACACCAGUGGCGAAGGCGGCUCACUGGACUGGUAUUGACGCUGAGGUGCGAAAGCGUGGGGAGCAAACAGG
RNAcentral lists this unclassified non-coding RNA (253 nucleotides) under uncultured Sphingomonadaceae bacterium. RNAcentral's name for it is "contains 16S-23S intergenic spacer region". It matches the Rfam family "Bacterial small subunit ribosomal RNA", at positions 524 to 776 of the family's 1533-position model. Lineage: Bacteria; Pseudomonadati; Pseudomonadota; Alphaproteobacteria; Sphingomonadales; Sphingomonadaceae. The record is from RNAcentral.